Columba livia (rock pigeon) is the source of this 24719-nucleotide long non-coding RNA. RefSeq lists it as uncharacterized. The record is from RefSeq and is a predicted model, not a curated record. The transcript has 15 exons. Lineage: Eukaryota; Metazoa; Chordata; Aves; Columbiformes; Columbidae.
AGGGGCCGGGUGCGCGGCGGGUUUUCUGUGGGGACUCGGCACCACGGUCAUUUUUACUCCGUGUCUGUGAAGGGGCGGCUGUUUGUUCCGGCAGCCAUGGCUCUGGGGGUAGCGCGAGGGCUGCGGGAGGCGGUUGCAACUGUUAGCGGAGCCGCGCGCGCCAGGGCCGGCGGUUGAAACCGUUCGAGGCGCCGCGCGCAUGGGGCGGCCGUUAGCGCUGCCGCUCCCGCUCUGUCGGCCUGUCUCCAGCUGCUGCCCGGCGGGUGUGCGCUUGUCCAGGGCUGCUGCUCCGGGGUGUCUCCCGCUGCUACCCAGCGGGUGUGGGGUUUGUCCCCGGCUGCUGUUCCGGGGUGUCCCGCUCGCGUCUCCGCCCGCUGAGGAGCAGCAGCCGGCUGGGAGAACGACCCGAUUUGUGAGGGGAGCGCCGGCCCUGUCAGCCGUCUCCUCAGCGCGGGCAGGAGCGCAGCGGCUCCCUGAGGGGGAACCCCCGCAGAGGCUGGGGCUGCUCCAGUCGGGCUCCUGUGUUGUUGCGGUGUUCGCCAGAUCAAAGGAAAAAAAACAGAUGUAAAUUAAGUUGGAACGAAGGUGUUCUGAUGGAAAACAGUUUUGUCAUGUGAUGCUAUCAGUGUUAAGGAGACAGCUGGCCAUAAUCAUAGAAGAGAAUGUGGUUUACCCACUGCAAUCUACACUGGUAACACAAUUUCUCAGCAGAUUCUUCUCAUGAACACCAGCAAGGACUCCUGCAUAAGAAAUUAUUAGUCAAGGCCUUUCUGCUUCUCACACCACCCACCAGCGAGUAGGCUGGGGGUGCACAAGAAGUUGGGAGGUGGCACAGCCAGAACAGCUGAUCCCAAUGGACCAAAGGGGUAUUCCACACCAUAGGAUGUCAAGCUCAGCAUAUAAAGCUGAAGGAAGAAGGAAGGAGUCACACUUUUGGAGAGAUGGCCCUUGUCUUUCCAAGUAACUUACGUGUGAUGGAGACGGGCUUUUCUGGAGAUGGCUGAACACCUGUGUGCCCAUGGGAAAUAUGGUACUAGCAAUAAUUCUCUUUGGCUAAGAUAAAAUUCUGUUGUUAAAUGUCCCUGUCUGGUGACUGCCCUUUGAAGAUGUGGAUUGUUUGUGUGAAAUGACUCAUACAGCUGUACCGAUGGAAAUUUUAACUAUUGGCUGAGUGAGCUAUCGCUGUCAUGGAGUAGAUGCUGGCGAAGACAGCUGUGAUUGGGAAGAAGUUGUGGAAGCGACAGUAAGCCUCUCCAAAGUACCACUCGCUGUGCAGCGCGUAGAUGAAGUUGAUGAGGGUAUUGAAAGCAGCCAUGGAGGCAUCAGAGAAGGCCAGGUUCACCAAGAAGUAAUUGGUCACAGUCCUCAUGCGCUUGUGAGCCAGGAUAAUCCAGAUGACGAUGAGAUUUCCAAAAACGGCCACUGCCACCACACCACCAUAAGCCAGAGACCACAGGGCAAUGCGCCAAGAGGGUUGCACAAACUGAUUGGAGAAGUUGGCUGCUGAGGAUGCUACAGGGGGAGAAACAUUUCCAGCUUGUGCUCCUAAUGCCUGUCCCCAGGGAUCGCCCACUGCAGCCUGGCUCCUGUUCCACCUGCUGCUCAUGCUCGUGUUCCAGCUGGCUGUGGGGACAGAAGUCAUCUUGGAUGUUCGUCUCCUCUCUUCCAGGAAUGAUGUGCCCUCCCACCUCCCUCUCCCAACCCUCCAAAAUCCCCACCAACAGAUAAGAAAAGGAAAGAAAGAAAAAAGGAAGUGAGGCAGCACAGCAGGUACGGGGAAGGAGAGAUCUGUCAGAAAAAGCUUUGGCUAUGGUGUUCAAACUGUUAGAAUUGCUGUACCAGUCGAGUCAGGAGAGCUACCUCUGAGUGGAACAGCAUCCCAUUCUUUCUCUGUACGGCCACCUCUUGCUUUUGCUGAAGCAGAAGGGGACUGGGAGCCAAGGCACAUUUUAUAGGCUUGUGAGUUCUCAGCGUCACAAAGGGAGUGGAGCAACAAGCUCCGUUGACUGGUGUCAAGGAAAGAUGUUGAAUCUCCCAAGUGGAGGAGGCUGCUGGUACUGCAGAGCAUCUCAGAGGUGUGGACACACUUGUGUGGGCUGUUGCUUUCAUCCUGCUGAGGUAGUUCAGUCUCUUCUCUCCAGGCUGCUCUUCACUUCUAUGGAUUCUGCCACGUGAUGAGGACCAGCUGAUAGUGAUGUUUUCCUUUUCAAAGGGAGUCCAAUGGUAGAUCACAGUUACGGCAGUUUGGGGAGAAGGAAACAAAACAAUCUCUCAUCUAUGCAAGUGAGAUGUCUGGUGGCAAGUAACUAACGCUAACUGGAAUCUGAAUUGAAAUAGAUGUCACAGGCAUUCCUGACCACAGCAAACCUCAGAAAAUAGCCGUCAACAGCCUUGGCCUUGUACGCUGACCCUAUUUGAACUACGAUUACCUCUCCAAAAUUCACCAAGAUUGUAUUGGCAACCGGCAUGAAGUAUGAGCCCAGUCUGCCCAAAAGACUAAUAACUUACCCAUGAAGAUUGACUUCACAUGCUGUGUUACUUGAAUCUGCAUUGGAGGUACCAGAAAUGCUUUCCUUGUGAUGUUUUAUUGAAUUAACUCUUUGGAACCACUAAAAUCAACAGAGCUGACAAAGUGUGGGGCUUUGCUUCUUGACCUGGAGCGACUGCCUGAAGGCUGGGCAAGGGUUGAACUGGACUCUUCUGAGAGGUGCAGCUGGAUAGAAGAAGAGGCAAGAGAUGCAAGUUGACGUGCAGGAAAUUCAGAUUAGAUAUUAGCACAAAAAUUUCUUCACAAGAAGGGUAGUCAAAACGCUGGAGCUUGAGCCCACAGAGGCUGUGGUCUCCUUCCUCAGCAAUAUUAUAACCCCAUUUGGACAAGGCUCUGCGCAACGUGAUGUAAUUGGCGCUGCUUCUUGCAGGGGUUGCCCUAUAUGACCCCUGAGGUCCCUCCCAGCCUAAAUUGUUCUCUCUGAUUCUCUGUUCAGCCCAGAGAACAAGAGAAAGCAGAAAGCAGUGUAGGCAAUUUUACAAGCUCUUCAUAUUCACCGUACGCCCGAGCCAGCCAAGGCCAGCAUGGUUCCCCAAACUUCCUACGCUGAUAGAAUCAUAAGAGCCUCUACCCAAGUGCAUAUGGUGCUGCUGGGAGGCAGCCGGAAACGUUGGCAGAAGCACACGAGCACUUAACAGUGCCAGCAGACCUGCAAGCCAAGAGCAGCCUGACUAUAUGCAUGGGUGAUAGCUACUCCAAUCACCACCAUACAGACCUUAGCCCGGGUCCUGUCCGGCCAAAGAAAAAGAAGAAGGAGGAGGCGGGAUGGGGAAAGACUAGGAGAGUGCCACAGUGAAGAGGAUUUCUACCAAAUGGCUUUGCUCCUUCUGUGAGCCCUGGUCUCCCACACCUGGGUCUCCUCCUUGCUCUGGUCUUCCCGGCUGCCGAAACCUCUCACCAGCCCUGCUGCUGGCUGAGCAGGCGGCUCGGUGCGCGGGACCAAGCCAGACACCUGCCCUGUCACCUGCUCCUGCCAGAAAAGUGUGCUGCACCCCAGGAGCCUGGAGACGGUGUUCAGCCCUGCACAGACGCCUGCCAACCCCUGCACAGCCCCAGGAGGGCAAAGGGUGACAGGAGACUCUGUUAACAAGAGGCAGGACACCACAGAGGGGAGGGUGGAUGGAUCCUGGCCACGGAGGCAAUGGAGCUGCCAGACCAGGCUGCACCACAACAGCGCAGAAACUCAACUGCCUGUCAAAGCAGGACCGUAGCGACAUUGAGGGCUCUGCACAAAACUCUUCUGUUUGCUUCUGCAUUUGAUUAGCUGCCUGUGUUGUGUGUUUUAAUUUCCUGCCAUUGAAGCACGUUGCUGUCAUGGUGAUAGAUGCUAUAGAAAUGAGUAAAAUAAAUAAAUAAAAGUUCAGAACACUUUUGACCAAGUCUGCGCUAAUUAGCGCAUAAGACAAACAGACAAAUGUUUUCUGGGAUUUGUGUCAACCGUAUCCAGAUUCCUCCCCUGCUUCUCAGAUAUCCGCGAAGCCCUUUCUAGAAAUGGAAAUAAAGAAAGGCAGCAGAUGGUGCUGGGAAUACUCUGAGUAAGAUGUCUCUAUUCAGAGCCAGAUAUUAGUAGCAAACCAUCCAGUUAACAGGCACUGUGAAGCAGCGAAUAUUUAAUGUGAUGGUAGUAGAAAAGCGAGGAAGGUGAUAAUGCAAAAUGACGGGUGAAAGGCUAACCAGAAAACACUCAGAGGUGGUUUGGAUGAAGCUGCUCCACCUGUGAUGGGAAAAGCUGAUCUAGCAGGAAUAGAUGGAAGUGGGAGGAGAAAGAGAAGGGGGCUAUCCGUCACUCUGGACAUGGGAGGACAGAGAUUAAUCUUGUUAACAUAGUUUAUAACACCAAAACAAAUGGUGCAGUCGCAUUCUUCUCUACUUCUGGACUUUUUUUGAGAAAACAAAAUAGCAAUAAUCAUAAUUAGCACAGGGUUCAACCAAAAGCAUCAUAAGAGUUUUAAAGGCAUAAAACAAAGACUGCCUGUACUUUCCAAGUGAGGAAAGGACUUCUCUGAUUGACAGCAGGAAAUACAUAAAAAUAACUCCUUUCCAAAACCAAAGAGGAGUUAUUAUUAUUUGCAGAGCUUCUACCACAAGCCAUCAUCAUCCCCUCCAGACUAGCUUUCCUGUAGAGAUUCAAAGGUACAACACAUAUCCUCAAGCCAUGUAAUAUUGCUGCUAUUGCACUGUCAAUGCAGUUCUGAUCAAAUUUUCUUUGAUCAGAAAAUUAAUCUUAGCUGGAAAUGGAAAAUACAGGGGUAUUUACUGGACACAGUCAAUAUUAAGUUAUCAGAUGUUUAGUAAUUUUUUUCCAGGGUACCAUGAUUUCUCAGACUAAAACAAUCCCAAUUUAGGUUAGAAGUGUAAAUUCUAAUCUCAGUAAUAACAUCUCCUGUCAUAUUGCACUGUCACCUGCAUAUACUUUACAAUGCAAAUUGCCCCAAAUACAGCCUGUCUUUAAUCUCACACCACUAAAUGGAUGUCUAUAGCCUGAAAUCACAAGGCAUUCUUGGCCUUGCACAAUCUAACCUGUUAGACUUUGACCUUAAUGACAUAACUGUCCACCACAGUAACCGAACCUCUGCUGUUAAAAAUCCUUGCUGAGAAAUUAUAUCUUUGCAGAACAGGGAAGUUUUAUCAGUGCUGCUUUUGUUACAAUGUGAAAGAACUUGGUGUCGGAUGCAUUUUUUAUUCAUAUGGCUGUAGUCAGUACCUACAGGGAGGUGUGCAGCAGAAACAAGGCUAACAGAGGAGCAACCAGACUGCUGAAGAGGACCAGCACAAAUACAGAGCUAUACAGUAAGGGCUGUAAGUAAAGAAGUACAAGGUAAGAUCCCGGGAUUCAAGGGACCCUGUAAAACCCAGUUGUUCAAGGAUGGACCAACCAUCUGGACUGGUGAUCUGCUGAUCAAUGUGGUAAUUGUGGUAUUGGUGUUCCAGAUCUCAAACAUGUUCUGCUAAAUUCACCUCUUCUUAACAGAGCAUUUUGGUCUCUGCCAAAGCAGAAAAAUCAUCCCCCAAAUCCCAUCCAGUUGUCAUCAGAUGAUUUAACAAAAGUAGCCGCGAGCUAUGCAGGAACCAGCAUCUCCUGUGGCCAGCUCCAGCUGGUCACCUACACCUCUUUGGCCUCAGGAGGAGUAAAGCUCCAGCCAGAGAAAUCCCGUCUGCUCUCUCAGCAACCUGCAGCACCCAGGCCCAGCCGUCACUGGCUGCCAGUCACUGCCAUCACCAGCCACAGACCCCGCUUUGCCCAGGGGGAGCUCAGCGCUUGCUGCAUCAUCAUGUUUGGACAUGGCAUGUCUCCUCCUCACUGCAGGCACAGGAGGGCAGAGGCAGCUGUCAGGGUGGCAAGGAAAUGCUGAGGAAGGUGGAAAGCGACAGCUGGAGCCUAUGGAAAGCUGUGGGGAAGAGGGAGACGGCAGAGGACAAGGCCUGCAGGCUGGCACAGAUUCCUGUCAUUUUGUACAGAGACAGCCCUGCCUGCAGCAAGCUCAGGCUGAAAGCUGGCCACGCUCAGGAGCACCUGUGAGAACAAAUUGGGCAGCUGUGGGGAAAAACACAUUUUGCUGUGGAUGCAUUGCUAUGAAAAUAGCCUAACCUGCUGACUGGACAGCCUGCAAGUAUCUAACUAACGCAGCAGGCUGAGCGCCAAAGGUGUCAAUUUGCCAUAGCACAAUACACGUCCGCAGCGGCUGGCGGGGAAGGCGUACGUGAGUGGGAGAGGUUAAAUCCCUCACCACAUCCAUAGCGAAGUUCAGGAGGAGGCAGUUUAACACUAUCUAGGAGGUUACAGAGUAAGCAGUUUAGAUUGCUUAUGCAUCUGCAUUUACCAGCAGACUAAAGGUUUUGUGGUGGGAGGCAAGGAGUUCCUUCUGGUGGGUAAUGGAGACUCCAGGGGUGCCACGGCCAAAGCGGCAGAGAAGCAGCUUGCUUGAGGUGGGCUCCACCACAAGGUCCAUGCCAGCCCACACUGCCUGGCUGAGAUGGAGGGCACGCAGGAAGCACCUUCAGAGCUGGUUGGGUGCUCCCAGUGUUGUUCAGAGCAAGUUUUGAGCUUUAGCACCCAAAUUCUGCCUCAGGCCCCUGUUCAGAGCACCAGUCCUGUGCCAGGCUGAGCCCCGUGUCUGUGUCCCCUUUGAUGGAGCUGGAGCAACAUGGACUCUGCAGGAUGGCAAACCUUUUUGUGAUACCUGGACAUCUUUCUUCUCACGAUGUGCUAAUGGCAGAGGAUGGUUCUUGCAGGCUCCAAUGAGACUAAAUCACCCCUUUACAACUAGUGGGUAACACUGAUUUUGCUGAGCUGCAAAGGAACGGGGCUGCUACCGUGCUGUCAUGUGAACACCGCUCUGCAAACUCAACUUCUGAGUGUCCUGAUAUGCAUUUCCUUCUGGUUUUAGGGAGUUUUCUUCAAGGCCACAUAUAUCACCAGUCCUGUAAAUGAUUGCAGUGGCACCAGCUCCUGUCCUUGACUGUGCUUCUUUGUCAAGCGUGGCAGCGAUAGCAAUCACUCCGAUGUUUUGCAAACCUGCAGAUCACUAUUGCCAAUCUUGGUAUAAACAAGAACUAAUUAAUCUUCACCACAUCUCUGUGAAGAAGCCAGGCAAAAGCAAGCCAUGUAUUUCUGGUUAAAGCACCUGGGAGAUGGAGAGAAAGGAGUCUGGCUUCUGGCUUGGCAGCGGCCAGCCUGCAGCAAGACGGGGAGCGACUGCCAGCUGAGGACCUGCAUUCGGUAUUGCUGCUGUCCCCAAGCGAUCAAACGUCCUGACUCAACCCUAAAUCAGUGCAAUGGUUUAAAACCCAGGAAAUACAAUAAUAUUAAGACACAAGUUUUUUUCCUUGACCUUAUUAUUUCUGACCCUCUGUGGGCAACUGGUGUGAUGAUUUGAAGAGUUUAUUUUUCCUUUCGAAGAAAAUAAUGUUUUUCUACUUAGGAAAGAUGUGAUUUAACGAACUCACUGGAUUUUUAAUGAAGACUAGAGAUACGAACCUAUGGAAAAACUGCAAAAGUCAAUCAAACUGCAACUGUACAGAAGACAAGUUUGUUCUUCUACCGAUAUCACAAUAUUUACCUGUCAGUGUAAGAGAUCAGAAAGCUGGACUUUGCUUUGCAUUUCUGCCCAGUUCUGGCUUUACAAAGCUUGAUUUGGUGAUGUCCUGUCCAGCAUCUAAAUCAGUGAGCUCCCUCACACCAGUGAUGAUAUUUCCGCAGAAGAUGGAUUAAUCUCUCUUCUUUUUUUCCCUCAUUGAUCUGGGCCUUGAAACAGCUUUGGGGAGGCAGGCAGAUAGGAAACAAGAGGGGAUUUAAGCCUUUUGCUUCACCUUUUAAAAAAACUCCAUGCAGCAUCGCUGUCCCUGGAGUAGGCCCACAUUAUUACUACAGCCACAGCCAGAACAUCAGAGCUACAGCGCUCAGAGUUGUAGAUCAUCAGUCUGCUGUCACAGCCGUGAUAUAUGAUGGAAAAAGCCAUCCAUCUGCAAACACCGAGCACAAAGGGCUGUGGCUGCGAGGAUGCAGUGUGGCAUGUACGACGUACACAGCAGCGAGCAUUUUCCAAACAAAAAGGGCAGAAACGUGGUAAAUGGAGGCUCCUUGGAAGGAAAGGGGAAAGUGUUCAAAGUUUCUUGCUCCCAGGUCUACAAAAAAUCACAAAAUGUAUGUUCUCGAAUCCAGAAAUGACACCUAUGAAUCCAGCUACUGCUUCUUCUACACACACCCCUCUUUCCCUUAAAGAUUUACACCUGCUUUAGGAUCUUUACAGACAGAGACAUUUAAGGCUGUGAAAUCUUGGGAGAAGGUAAAAUGACAUGGUCAAUCAGCUGAUGCUUCUUCCCUGCACACCAGGGGACUCCAGCAAACCUCUUGUAUUUUGUGUGGAGACUCAGCUCUGACUAAAUAUUUCCUUUGGCACUAUAAAGGCAGAAAGAUAUUAAAAAAGGAGAGCAAGAGAGAGCAAGUGAGCAUAAGUGCUUACGUAUGGCUCCAGGUUUCACAGCUGAACUACAAUGAACUGGUGGUUUUCCAGGAGAGAAGCCAUUUCUUGUGUGUCAUUCUGCUGCACAAUACUCCAAGUGAGGAUGCAGUUAAAUACAUUGAUCUCAGAGUCCCUCAUGCAGAUGCAUCCAGGGAUACUGACCAUAAAAAUUUCUCCUGUUUAACACCUGUGACUGGGUGGCAAGCAAAGCUGAUGCUUUACAAAAGCACAUAUUGAGGAAAAAGUUCUGGUUGUGUUUUUUGUUUGUUUGUGUUUGUUUUCCUCUCCCCACAAGAAGUGCCUCAUCUAAAAGGCAGAAGCCACAAAGUGGAGAUCACUGCAAAGGGGAUCAAGCAGUUCAGUUACUCUGCCUUUUGCAUGGCAGCAGGAAGAUCAGUCAUUUAAUUUCAAACAGCUACAAUGCAAUUUUCAAAAUGUCUGCUUCCAUGCAACAUAAUACACUUGAAAUACCACAUUCUUAUUAAUAGUAAAUUAUGGCACAUUCAUCUAGCUGUUCUGAGAACGGUAAGUCUAGAGGUCUUUGACAAACACAUACUCUGUUUGUGGGGAAUGAGGUAAGGCACCGUAAUAUGAAAAAACCAUUUCUCUCCUCACAUCUUACAUACUUAUCAAUAUCUUAUUUUUGUUUAGAAAAAAAUACUGAUUUCUAAUAUUUUACCAUUAAUGUUACAAUUAAAAAAAAAAAAUAAUGUAGAUCUGCCAAGAAAACAUUUUAGUUCAGAACUAAUUUUUUUUUUUAAUUCAUGCUUUUCUCUCAAUAAAUAUUAGAGUUGAUCACAGAUUUUUGUUACAAAUAGUUCAUUUAUGGAACUCAGCUCUUUUUGCUUGCCAAAUCAUUUGUGAUAUUUAUGAGUUUCUUCAUAACUGCAAAACAUGCUUUGCAGAGCCAACAUGCCUUUAUAUCCAUCUGCCCAGCCCCUGAACUUUCCUAAGCGGAUGAUGAGCUUUGCUGAAGACAACAGUAAGUUGGCUGCAAUGAAUUUUUCAGUCGUGGCUGCACAGAGCUGACUUGGCUCUCUGUGAAGAAAAAGGGUGGAAGGGAAGGAAUUGCAGGACAACCAAGGAGGCAUCCCAGGAGGACAGACCAGAUGAGUGAAUCCUGGAGAUCCUGGCUGCAAAGUACUUAAGCGCUUUUGGCAGGGGAGCGAAGCCCGUCCAGCCUUACACCAAUAAACUCAAUUCCCUUGGGACCGCCUGGCAUAAGAAAAGCAUGGGAAGGUAUGAAAGAAACUGGUGGCUGAGGUGAUAUCAGAUGUAAAAUAAUUCUUCAGAGAUCUCCUAAUGAAUGCAUUGGCACAGUCUAAAAGGAAGAAAACGUCUGGAGUACAGCAGGCAGCACACUGUGCAGGGGAGGGGGCCAGGACAGCUGAGAGGGUGCGACUGUGUGGCUGCAGCUCAAGAGGGCUUCGCAGUUCUUCCGCUUGAAAUUCUGCCCCAUUUGGGGUGUUUUUUGUUUGUUUGUUUGUGUUUUGUUUUUCUUUGUGUGUGUUGGGGGCGGGUCUGUCUUAAGCUAUUUCAUUCAGUGCCAGCUCCUGAAAACUGUAGGAGAAAAGCUCUUAAGGAAAUAAUUUAUUUUAGCUUAAAUAGCUUGGGGCAGCAGUUUACAAAGGCAACGAAGGCCUAGGUUGCACUCUCCAAGACACUCAAACCAUCACGGGCAGAGUUUUCGCAUUUAAUUCAGGAACUAAGUUUCGGCUUGCACACUUGCCCCAUUUAUCCAUACCCAAGUGUGGGCUGUCUGCAGUGACACCUGGGGGGACGGGUCUUCUUUCUGACAGGCAAUGGGAAGAACAGGACGGAACUGCCGAAGUCAAUUUCUCCUCACCAGAUUGCCAUGGACAGCUGAGAUGCUGCCAUCCUGACCUCUAUGGCAAAACUCCCAAAGUACUCUCAUCCUGGCUUCCUCGGCCCCACGCAAGGUGCUCCCACUCCCCUGGGACUCUUGAACUAGGACACCAGUUAAAGGAUGUUGCCCUCAUUUGCAGAUCCUUGGGAAGGGCUGAUAACUAGGAGAAGAUUUCCAGAACAGGUUGUCACCCUUGACAACAGCAUGGGAAGAGCAGGUAAGUGGCUUGUAUGCAAAAAAACCCAAACAAACCAAAACCAAGCAAAAGCAACUUACUAUGCAUGCAUUAGAAAGGAAAAAUAACAAAAUAAAUAUUUUUAAAGUAUAAUAGUGUUAAUAAAAAUUUUUAAACCCCCCCCCCCCGCUUUAAGCCUUCACACUGUUUGCCUUAAGUAGACAGAUAAUUAUCACAGGUAAGUCUUACUAAAUCAUCUAGAUGAACUUCUGAUUUGCACUGCAUCUUCAAUAGCAUGAUUUAUGUUGCUUAAACAGCGAGCACCUCUAUUGUACUUGAGUUUUGUGAUUUCAAGGCAUGAGCAACUGUAAUUAAAGAGCCUUUUUGGAGCAAGUGUAGCACUGUGCAGUGUAAUAUGACAUUCAGCAUAAAUCAGCAUCACUUUACAGAGUUCUGCUUAUUUUCACUUGUGCGCUUCAGCUCUGUCAUUUAUCCACAGUGAAGCCUCAAACCAUGGUAUCUUACCUAGUUCAUUCAGAUUUUCCCAUUUCUAGAAAUCUCCAUUAUUUUUAUCAUGCAGUUUAUAUGUUUAAUUCUCAAAGAGCUAAAUUUGUUUGGCACAAUAAUGAUUUUACUAGCCUAUUGCCUAAUAGAAACAGUCCUAAAACAGGGCAGCUAAUGAACAUGAGUGUGAGACAUGAGCAUCAAGGCAGCAUCAUCCAUUCACAUAGCAAUGUAUGUGUGCAACAGAAGAGACUAUUUUCUUAUUUUUUUGUCAAAUAAGAUGCCAGCAGGAGCUGAGACUGCUCUUUGAUUCAGCGAUAAUGAGCGACUGUCGCACCAACGGAAUUUACAUUUUGCCAAUGGUAUGAAAAAACACAAACCUAUUCUUCUAAGUUCAGAUUUCGGGCCCUCCCCCCCACAUACAUGCUGAUUUCCUGAAGUUUGAGUGCUCCAAAGCUCACACUGAUGUGAAUGAAAAUCUUGGCACUUUAUUGAACGAUGACGUCCAACAUGAAAGGUAAAUGUAGGGCAGAUGACUACCUGUAAACAUUCCUCCUGGAGGAUCUUCUCCAAAGCACAUUAACCCAUCUUCCUCUUCCCUUUCCCCUGCUGCAAGCAAAAUCAAAUUUUAAUCAGUUUCUGCCAUAUCUGCUUCACUUGGAAACUUUCUGAAGUAAUAUUAGAAAAACCGUACCAGGCUCCAUAGCAGGCAUAAGCGCGUUUCUCUGUGCUGAUGCCUACCAUGUCAAACCAUUAUCUAGGCUUCCCGCUGGCUGAUGCUGCUGGAAAAAAGAUGAACUUUGACUUCGGGGGAGGCAGCGAAAGGUAAUUUGUUCUGUGCAUCACAUCUCAGGCAGGAAGGAGGCUGCAGGUCUCGUCUGACUCAGACCUGUGAGGCCGCUUACAAGGGCUGCGGCGGUUUGAGCAGGGGCCAUGAGGCACCAGCAGCCCCAUGAAGCUGGAAGUCACCUGGAGGUGACAGUCUCCUUCCCUGCUGUGAAGCAGCAUAAAGGGCAACGGCUGUGUUGCCAUCUCAGGUGGACACGGGGCACUGUGCGCUGUUAGGACUAUAAAAAGAGACAUGUAUGUAUGUACAGCACCACUAUAGACAUAUGGAGAUACAUAUAUAUAUAUAUAUAUGGGUCCUUGUACACCAUGUUAAAACUGAAACAAGUUGACAAGGAAAUAACAGCAUGUAGUUUCCUUUAUUGGCGAGUUUGCUAGCAUGGACAGUCCUAGUGUUUCUGAUUUUUUCUGAUAGUACUUCUGGCCUAAAUCAAAACCACUACAUAAUCUAGUAAUGCCUAAGAACCAUCCAUUUCAAACACUGCAUGCUCUAUUCUGACAACAAACAUUACUGUUCUAUUUCUGUUUAUUUGUGUAGUACCAACCCGGAGUUCCAUAUUUUCAACAAAAUUAACAGUAAAGACCAACUCCAGGUCUUUUGAUAUCCUGGAAUCAAGGUGAAACACUGUUUCCUGGCCCUACAUAAUUCACGUGUGCUUUCAGAUUGCUGCUAGUAGAGCUGUUCCUCAGCAUCUCUUAUAUUGAAAAUAGGUCUUUUGCUCAUAGGCAGCCUUUAACAAACUAUUGGAGACUUGCCUAGGAUCUUGUUAACCACAUUGCUGUUAUCCAAACUAUUCCAGGCCAGCCAGUCCCCUUGCAAAGGUCUUUCCCUUCCCCUGGAGAUGGGGCAGAGGUGGCUAUUGUAGUGAUUAACUGGGAAGAAGCUGAGCUGCCAGCACCAAUAGCUUCCCAGCCUUGAAUCAAGAGAAACAGCUGUCCACUUCUUUCCUCCAUAAAGGAGGCUGUUAGCAGCUUUGGUACAUUUUUCCUUCUGGUUUUGAUGAGAAAAAGUAUUGUUCUCAUUCUCCUCUUAGAAACUAUUAUAUAAGAGUUCUUUUACAGACAGUAAAAGCAAGCACAUCAGUUAACAUUUGCAGGCCAAGUAUGCAAUUGCAGAAACAAUUUUUUUUUUAAUUAAUGGCCAAAAAUGAAGGCCCCUUUCAGUUCCUGACACUCUGCUGGCACCAGAAGUGCAAAGUUACUCUGAAGUCUUAAAGAGUUUUCCUUUGGUGACUUCAGUUUCUUUACUAUUGAGGAGCUCAGCCUCCUUGCUGGUGGGGUGCAGGUUGAGGAAACACUCUGCUCAGAUGCUCAGGAACACGCUAUCUUGGUAGUAAUACAUGGAUACACCACUCAAAGAGCAUCUCCAAACCCUCUGUGGGUACCAGUCUAGUUCUGUUUCCCUCUUCUCCCACCUCACAGCUGUUUAUAUCACGUGUUCCCUCACUUCCCUUUUGUUAAUGUAUUAUACAGCAGCAGCAGCACAUGGCAGAUGAAAAUCAUGGAAGCAAGACUCAUUAGGAUUCCACGUCCUUUGAGUGAUACAUAAAAAAUGCUGUGUGAAAUGUCAGGAAAGUAGGUUUUGAAGUUUUGACAGAUGUGAGAAAAGGAGAAAUGUUUGCCAUUUGUCUUAAUGACACUUUAACAUGUUUGGAGAGCCAAUAAAAAAACCCCACAGCCCAACAACAACAACCAAACACACACGCACAAACACAAAAACCCCAACAAAAACUAACAAACCACCAUCAACAAAAAACACCACCCUGAGCAACAAUUUGGGAGGGAUGUGAGCUGUUCCCAAAAGCGAGGCUGGAGCUGAGAACAGACCCAAAGGGUAUCAGUGGUCCUGGUCCUUUGCAUAGACUGCCAAAAGAGAACAGCGAGAGAGAUAAAAGUAAGUGAAAAUCAUGAUCCUUAAUGACUUAAGCUUGACUUCUGGGUAAGAGCUGAUCAGCAUAUCCCUCCCCACAAUGCUACAGCCCUUAGGACUCCUCAGAUGGCAGCCAGCAGUACUAACAGAUGCAAAUAUGAUAGGAGUGUAAGAGAAAGUAUUUACGUGUAAUGACUACCCCAGCCAAGACAGUUAUUUUCAGUGUUAUAUCUGAACAAAACAUUCCUCAGGUAAGAUCUAGUCCUGCAGCUAUUAGACAAUAAGUUGCCAUUGACCCAAAAUUGUCCAACAGGGGUUUAAGUUUUGUUUGCUGGAUUUGCAGGAGAAGAAAGGAGAGGUCAUGGACACACCAGUUUCUUUUGGCCCUGAGCCUGGGAAGGGACUCUCCCAGGUUUGUGAUGAUAUGGCUUCGGUGGCUGCAUCUUUUGUCCCCUUUAGGCUCUAAAUGCUCAUUUCUCUCCACUGUGGGGAAAGACAUUACUGGCAAGAAUAGUGCUUCACACUUUUAGCCAAACCUACUUAAUCCCAUCAACUGCAUUUCCCAAAAACAGGCUUUCACUUCCAGCAAAUACGACUCAGCUCCCCUCUAAGAAAUUAUCUUGCUCUUCACAGUUUCAAGGCAAAAACUGCCUGAUAAACAGGAAAACCCACCGGGUUCAACAUGGUACAAGUCACCAUGGGCUGGGUGAGCUACGAUGGGAAGAGCCCCCAAGCAGGUAACCGCUUCGGCAAAAUACACCUUUCCUUACAGAACUCUGGGAAGAUGAACCCAGGAUAAGUGUUUAGUUAAUAACCGGUAUCUAUUGUCACUUGGGUGCCAACAGUGGUACAGUAAGGUACAGUUGGCAUCUGUGGCAAAAAUCCCUCCAUCUAAUCUUUCAAAAUAAUCUGAAUUAAAAAAAAAAAUGCACAUAGCAUUACAGCAAAGGACACAAAAUUUGUGUCAGCACCUACCCCAAUGGCAAGAAGUGAGAGUGGCAAAGGAUGUACUUUCAGUUAUUAAUCUCACCUAGUCUUGUCCCCAUUCCAAGGAACAGGAUGGCACCCUGGAAGAGCAGUAGAAGAGGAGGUCCAAGUGAUGCAGAACUCUUCCAUAUGCAGGAAGUUUUACGCAAUCUCGAUUUCAUUAUUCAGUAUUUAUGAAGUCAAAAUUUCUGAUGAUAAACAAUGCAAUAGCACUGUAGCACGUUUAUUUGAGUUAGAAAUGAGCAAUGCCUUAUCACGAGGAACUAGUUCUGGUUGAACUAUUUGUGGUGGAGAAUCAAUUUGUUGAAUUUAGUCCUUUUGCCAGCUCAUGAAUUGUCCUGAAACAGAUGACAAUUUUCAUGAAUAUGUCCACCGCUCAAAAUUAUCUGACAAGCAAUGCAAACAUAUUCCAGACUAAAUUGCUGGUAAGCUGCUCACUGUGAUUACUGCUUAGAGUAUUUGAUAUUAAAAAUUGAGCUGUUUUUUCCUUGGGCCCGUAGCUCACCUGAUUUGUCAGUACCCUGACUGGAUAAGCACAGCUUAUUCAAGUACAGAUAUUUACAAGAGUAAAUUGCUAAGACUUUCUCCUCCAUCCUUUGUUUGCUUCUAUCUGCUUGACUUUCUAGACUGUAAUCUCCAGAGGCAGAAUUUCACAGCCUCUCACAACAAAACAUCAUCCUCGGUCAGGGCCAUCAGGCCAGCCUGGGAUAUUGGAUAGUGAUAUAACUUGGGGGGGGUAAAAAAAAAAUAAAUCACAAAAUAACUACCUCAUUUGCGCUUUUCUCUUGCUACAAAGCCACCACCACAUAGAGCCGAUGUGAAGUUUACAUAAUGAACACUCUAUCUUUUGAGAUCUGUGGGUUAACGAUCCACAUUUUCAUGUGUUUUCUUAAUGGCCCGAGAGCUGGAGCAAAGUAAGGCAGACAGUGUUGACUGUCAUGUUUGCUGCGAGGCUGGAAAUGGGCAGCCAGCCGGCGGCAUCUCCCGCCAUGGCAGAAAUGAGCUCCCGGUAAUUUGCUGCUCAGCUGGCUCUGCAGUGGCUGCGGUGUUAUACAAGGAUCCACCCAAGCCAGGUAGCUGCAAUGCCAGCAGCAGCUCAGCCACAUGUCGCAGCGAGGACCUCAAAAAAAGGCUCCAAACCCACUACAGAAUCGGGGAAAAUUAGGGAUAUAGCCCAGCACCAGCCUCUAAUUACUGCCUUAAUCCCCAAAACUGCACUGGCACAAAUUAGCCAGCUGAGAUGCCAGAUCUGGUAACACAGAAGUGACUGCAAUAUCAAAAACUCUUGCUAUGAGAAGCUGGGAAAAAUAGAGAUAGGAUCAGGCCCAAACCUCUGCCCAAACUCUUUCACACCCCAGCUACUGAGCAUUAGAAUAACUGCUGACAGGAAUGAGCUUAACUAACGCUCUCCAACAAUAUCAUUUUGAUCAUCUGUGGACUCAGGAAAAAUUUCUACACUGGCUUACACUGGUUGCGUUUUUAUUUGCAGCUCAGUAAGCUUUGGAUUAUUAUAUUGAAAGGAAGGAGGCUGUAUAUAAAGCCAGCUCUGUAAAGCACUGCAAACAGGACAGGCUCUUGUUUCAGGAGAGAUAUGGCUAAAAUGCAGUCACCACAGAAAUAAUGUGGAAAUCCAUCACACAUGCAUAAACAUUUCUUCCAGUAUAUGUUAUUAAUUUCCUCACAGAUCCCCCGCCAAGGUUUUCAACUGAGGUAACUAAGAGAGCCAAAUAUCUAGAUUAUUUUUUACCUCGUCAACACUUAAAUCUAUGUUAUUAAUUUGUCAUAUGCAGAUUAGCUAUUAUUAUGCAAGCACUUGCAUGGCAGAGAAGCAAAUCCAGGCCCCUGUGAGAAGUGAGCCCUUUCCAUUUCAAAAAGUCAUCUAUCUGCUAAUCCAUUUUACAGCAUUCAAUCUUUACCACUUGCUUUCGCCUUUCCCAUUUCCCCUGCUCAUUCCCAGCCCACAGCAGUACCUGGGCCUACAGCAGUCCUUUGCAGAAGUAAAGGAGAUUUCUUCCUCCAGCAUCACUGCAAGAACAGUCUCCAUUCUCAAAAAUGGCAUGUAUAGGAAGGCUUUUCCCCUGUAUAACAUGAGUGAUACCAAAUUCUCUCCUCCUGCGGGUGCAGUGAUGUGAAAAAUAGAAAAACCUGUUCUGCUGGACCACAUGGGUCUGGCUUUACAUCUGGAGAACCAAACACAAAUAAGGAAGGCCUGGAAAUGAAAGCACAUGCUGUUUGGGAGAAAAACCAACAAACAAAUUCUUAGAAUUUGUUGUUGCUUAUAUAUAUAUAUAUAUAUCUGUAUUAUUUUUUUUUUAACAAAUCCUUGAGUCAGAGCAUGGGAAACAAAGAGCAGAAGUACUGGGACCGGUGUCUCCCUGCCCGUGAUGAGGUGCACAGAACGGGGGACACAAAGCAAGAUUCAUGGUCCCCACCUUGCCCCAAGGAGGACAAGAGCAUGAAUGUGCUGCUGGCACAGGCAGGUACCCAGUGCCCCACAGUGGGAUUCAGACCCACUAUAGGUGAUGUGAGAGGGAUUUUCCAGUGGGCACCAGGUACCACUUUGGGAAAGCCCAGCAGCCCCCACUGACUUUCUGUCCACCUCUGAAGAGCCAAGCUAAGACCUGUGUAGUGCAGGCACAUUGGUAUCGUCCUCUGCUGGAGCAACCUGCUUCCCACUGAGCUCCGCCCGGUCCUCUCGCACCCAGCUAUGGAGGGAAGCAGCAGCUGCUCCGGUGCUUGGUGUAUUCCGCAGUUUAAUCAGACUCUACCUCCAAAUACUAAAGGCAUAAAUAGACUUACGGACUAUGAAGUACUUCAAGAGGUCAUCCAGCCUGUUUCCUUGAUUUAAUGCUGGAUUAGUUACAGUAUAUCAUUCCUGCCAAAGCUAGAUCUAAUCUACUUUUCGAGAUCCUCGGCAAUGGAGAUUUGACAGCCUCCACAGACUGCUGCCUCACCAUCAUUACCAUUACAAAGUCUCUCCUUGACGCCUAACUUGAGUCUUCCUUGUGGCGACUGAAGACCACUGCUUCUCUCCCAGCCACCAGAGAUGGAGGAGAUAAUUCCCUGCUCCCUUGCAGUGGCCUUUCAUCUCUGUGAAGACCGGCUUCACACCUCCUCUCAGUCCUCACCUCUCUGGGAUAAACACAAUUUCAGUCCUUUCUUGGUGACACGUUUCCUUCUCGCUUCACUCUGUACAGGUGUGUGCCAGCAAACAAGAUCAGUACAGUUAAAGAAAUUGGGGAGAUGGCUUGUGCUUAAGUGAAACUGCCCAAGAGAAACUCUAAUGUGCUAUUUGGCAUUUACACAGAAAGUUGUGCAACUAUUUACCAAGCACUCAGUAAACACAGUUUUUAACCGUGGCAACCUCUGUAUCAUGCAGCCAGCAUUCAUAGACAGCUGUUUCAAAUAAACAGCCAACAGACCUGAAAUAGCAUCACACUACCGCCUUAAUUAUUAGCCCAUUGAUCUUGUAUCGUGUGUAAAUAGGAACCUCAGAGAGCACUUUCGGAGGAGAGAAACGUGAAUCUUAAUCAGCCCAGAUAAAAAAAAGGGCACUGUACACAGAUGAUGCUAGGAAUGCAGAAAUUUCUUCCUCUCUGAAAGAGUAUCCCAGUUAUUCAGAAAAUAUAUGUAUCAACCCAAAUGCACAGAAAAACCAAAACAUGACUCACGCGACAGAGAAUAGCAGGUGCCACCUGCUGUUACAACCCGCUUUUGCUAUUAUAUAUGUCACACAUAUGUACUGAUGCUGAUGCGAUAAUAACAACAUGCAAAUGCUGCUUUAAUAUCCAGGUCCUCAUUUUGGGGACAUGACUCUUGGGUCUGCACAUGGUUUCAACCCACAACUUGUAAUUGCUAUAAGUUGGUGACUUCAUCAGGUGAGUGUCAAACUCAAUGUGUUGCACUUGCACUCAGUAGGAGGACAGGUAUUAGCAGAUGCCAAAUGGGGAUGCUAAUUCAAAAGACACGAUUAAGCCUAUUUAUGAAUACAAGUCUAAAUACCCAUAACCCAUUGUCUAUGCAAGCAUCUCAAUGCAUCCCUGUCUUGUUCAUAAUCCCAGCUUCCUGUCUUUAGUCUUAACCCACAGAAGAUCACCUUUUCCUGGCUGGACACAUUGGUGAUGGUGGAGACAAAGACAACUCUACUUAUAGCAAUACCGGCCUCUCUGCCCCCAAGUGCCACAUGCUGCCCUGCUACAAAUUUUUGGCAUCUGCUCCUUCGGCCAUAAGGCUUACCUGUCUCUGGGUUGGCAGCCAUCUGAGUGUGGGGUGGUUUUAAGGAUGGUUUCUGAGCUUGUGCUAGCCUCUUGUUAAAAAAUUCAAUCCAGCGCUGCAGCAUUGCUGUGUUGAGGCUCCCAGUCGGCCUACGUGGAACUGAUGGUGGGCUGAGUCGGGUGGUUUGGUAGUCACAAAGCCCUUCCUUGGUACAUUUAUGCAGUAACUUGACAAGAGGAGCAUGAAAAAGAUGGGAUGGGAGGUUGUUUUUCCAAAAGAUAAUGUGAUCAAAGGUGAUUUAGUGAGCAGGUACAGCAGGACUUGUGCUCCUCACUGGCUGCGCUCAGACCAAAAUGGAGUUGCUGAAACUCAAAGGAAGACAAUUUUUGCAAAUGACAUCAAAGACUAUAUUUUUGUUGAGAUUAAGAUAAACAAAAUUCUUCACAAGAACAAACUUUAAAUUCAUGGUUUUUUUAAAACCAAAAAGGCGCUUUUUUCAUAAUUAAGAAAACUUUCAGUAGAAACAUACAUGUAAUCAAUAGGUUAACUUUACUAAUUUGGAUUAAAUACAAACUACUCAAUAUGCUGUUGCAACAUGCCAAAUGACCUUCACAGAAAACUAAGUAGAUUCUGCCCCAAAACUGACAGGAGCAUGGGAUUUCACUGUGCAAUGGGUCAGUAGGGAAACGCGUGGCUUUCUCCAUAGCUCAGCCCAAACGUCACAAGAAGCUAUGAAAGCAAACUGGGUGCAAACGGUCCCCUCAGAGCACCAGCCCCCAUCAUGGCUGAGGUGUUUCUCAGCCCCCCACAAACCAAAUGAGGGGCAGACACCGUGUGUCCCACAGAAGAGCAACAUCCAGGCAGACUGGGCCACAAGAGGCUGGAGCCAACACGCGCAAAGCCAGUGUGUUCACCUCCAUUUCCAUGGCACGAGGACUUGGCCUCCAUCCCAAAAGAAAAGCGAUACUGCAGUCUGGUGUUGCAGUCCUGGGGCAAGAGGGAGGGCUGCAGCAUUGCUCUGGGCUCCUCGCCACAUUCCUAAUCCCCCAUAGUCUUUAACCACAGGCAGAAAUCGUGAUGACCUCGCAAAGAGUUGGUACCUACCUUGGACUCAGCACCAAAGCAUCCUAAAAGAGCUGGUCUUCACAGCGGUAAGCACUACUCAAAGAGAGCGCCACCAAAUUCUUCAUUAUUAUUGGCUGCUUCCUCUGCUUUUUGGGGGUGUUUUAUUUUCCUUACACAUGCAUGCCUGCAUGAGGGCCACCAUCAUUGUCUCCUAUUGCAGUAUCUUGCUUAAAUGUACUCCUGCAGAAACACAAGGCAAAGACACCUCAGCGACAAUUGCUAUCUAAGAUACCUUUCACUUCACCUCAAUAUAUACUCCAUACUUAACACUGUUCAUACAGCAAGUCUCCUCUUGAUUGCCUUAAUAAUAAAAAGAAGAAAAAGAGCAAGAGAAGUAAACCGCUAAGUUUCCAAAUAGAUUAUGCAGAGAACAACGGAAUAAACCCCCAAAAUCUAACUUUCUGGGUGCAAAAAGGCCCGGUGUGUGGAAGUUGAGUGCUGAACUGUAAGAUGACCUGAGUGAAGCGUCCCGAAGGAGGGGAGUGUCUACAGGGGGAGGGAGCAAGGCAGGCACACCGAGCCCUGCCUUUGUAUCACACUGCUGGGGGAAAAAAUCAGUUUGUUAUGGUUGGCAGAUCACACUUUACCCUAUUUAGACCUAGAUGGAGAAAAACACAGGUAAAUAUCACCUAUAAAAGAGGUUCAAGUCAGCCUUUGCCUACCGCGGGCGGGAAUGCGCUAACGUAAAUGCAGAAAGAAAUCUGGUUCCCUCUGGAUAAAUGCAGAUGACAGACGAAAUAUCAUGAGUGGCAAAUUGUUGUACAAGUGCAGAAUGCAUUUAACCCUUUCCAACCUCCCCCAAAGCCAUCAUAAGAUCUUUUACUUUUCCUAGACCCCUGCACUGACACACACACACAGAUGGUAUUUGGCUUUAUAUAAACAGACAAGUGGAGAUGAGUAGCUCCAGACCAAGGUUCCUGCAUGGUUAUAACCUACCCGGAGCAGAGUCCCCAGGGCCAUACAGCCUCCUAGCCCAUCUGGGAGGCAUUUCUUCUCCUUAGCAGCAUAGGUGAAGUGCAGAUGACAUGUCUGAAUUACAUCACGGCCAGCCACGGUGGUUUGGUCUUCUGCAAUCCCAGUGACAGGUGAGUUAUCUGUGCCUUCACACAAUCACCCUUUUUACCACUAAUUUUUAGGCCUUCACAAUAAUUUUACUGCCUGCUCAAAUCUUCUCCCAUCCAUCUUUUCUCCCCCUUGACAAAUAGAAGGCCUAGUUUUACUUUUUUUAAAAAUUUGGUUUAAAAAAGCCAGCAGAAUCAUUCCCUUUGAACAGCAAGACCACGCGGACUCACGCCUGAGAGUUUGAACAGCAGCUGUUGCAGAAAAUCACCUAUUCAUUAGGCUUCCAAGGAGAGCCGAUCAAAUUACUCAAUACAAAUAAUUUAUCUGACAAUUCUCUCUUUGCAGAUUGUCUACAUGCAGACCACUUUUCACCGGUGCAAAACUCCUUUUUUUUCCCCACAAAAAACGUGUUAAAAGUUUCACCGGUUCUCUCGGCGGUUGCUAGGAGCGCUCAUUAUUUGUAAGUCAGUAUUUGCGCUGAGAGAUUGGCACAUGCUAUUGUUUCCACACUCUGCUGAGAUGACCUACACUGCAAAACAGGCCUGGAUAAAAUUGCUGAAGCUUUGUCUUUCCUCUCUAGGUAGUGUACUGAGAGGUGGAUGUGGAGAAGCUGACCCAGGCAAUGUUAAGAUAUUGCAAACCUCUUUCUCCCCACCAGUAUGGGACAAGGGGAGGGGGAAAGCACUUAACGAUAUAAACGGAUCCCAAAUUUAAACCUGCCUGGGUUCUUUCCUCAGGCUGAGACAGAAAAACAUACAUCUAAAAGCCAGUAUCUGUUGGCUGUUUAGCAAGUUUACAUUCCAUUUUCUCUUGUCAUGCUGACACAAAUUAUUUGCUCUUGUGUCUGGAUUGCUAUUUGCAAAGGGUGUAGUGAGUACCCUCAGCCUUUCUUAUUUGAUUAACUGUCUAAAAGCUGUAGCUCUUUGGAGGCAGGUGGAAAGUUCCCCAUUGAGUGGCCCAGAGCCUGUAAACAACACAAAUUUGCUCUUUCUGUGUGUGGUUGGGUCCCGUGCUCAGCCCCAGGGUCCCAGUCUCCCUCUCCUCGCAGGCCGGGUCCUGGCGGGUGGGCUGGCAGCUCUGUCACCCUUCAGCACGUUAAUGCAAAGGGACACGAGCAGCCAUGGGACGACCUGUGAUGAUGCCAAUUAAUUUGCACUGUAGCAAACACAGAGGCCCUUCGGCCACAGCCCCACAGCCCCUCUCCACCGAGUGCGGGGGUCUCAGGUGCCUCAGCCCCCACAGGACCCCUGGUUACAGCCCUCAGCUGGCUUUAAAGAAGAAAAAAAUUCCCUCCAUGCGAUGCAGCCUGCGUGUCAGCCUGCGGCACAAUGAUUGAUGACACAGCUGCUUCUGCAGCCCCCGUUGGAGAUCUCUAAUUUAAUUAAUGGCUUUCGGCAUGUGUGUAACAUAACUCCUGCAGCACCUCCGCGGCCCCGGGGAGCGCGGGGACCGCAGGGUGGCUGCUCUGGCACGGGCAGGGAGAUCAGGGGGUGGGAAGACAGAUGCACAGACACAAGGGCCAGAUGCGAUCGGGCACCUCGCAGGUUUGCAUUAACCUUCACGUAGGCAGGGGCACGUGGAGCCUGCGUUUGGCGAGCCUCCCUGGCCGGGCCAGCAGCAGCAGCCUCCCAAGCUGCUGUGCAGAUGUGGUCUCUGUCUGCCACGUCCUCAGGAAAGCUGCGAGAAGGUGGGCACCGCUCCACGGACCACCUGAGAUCUCGCUCAACUUUCUGCCUGCGAUGCACAAGGGGAAAUGCCUGGACCUGGUGGCAAGGAGGGGUCUGGCAGGUGGGAAGGAAUCAUUUGUUUUCCCUUUAAUUGGAAGCAAAGGGAGAGCUGAAAGGGUUAAUGGUGUCUUUUCAGCCCAGAUGUAAAAGAAAAAAAAAAAAGCUAUCCUAAGCUUUCCUGAAAUCUGGAGAACUCAGAAGAAUGUGGCAAAAGUAUUUCCCAGUUGCAAAAUACUGCAGGAUGGGUUUUCUACCAUGGUGCCUUUGGUCCCUGAUAGGAGUAGGGGAUGCAAGGCCAAACCACAGAACAAGAAACUAGCUUAGAGAAAAGCUGGAUAACAUGACCCCACUACCUCCCCCCGCUAAAAAAUCCAUCCAAGUUUAGAGACUGAAGCAGCACCCAGAUCUCCCACACCUAACUUCAGUCAUGGCUAAAGAGUAUUGCCAAAAUACGGAAUAAGUUAGAACCAGUUCUGAGGAACAGCUGCCUUGGGAGAGCGAGCUGGGGGAGCUACGUGCAUGUCCCAGCUUACUAAAACAGAGGGUUUUCCCCAUCUUCUUCUUUAAGUCCCACCACUGAUGAAGGCUCCAGAGUAAGCCCUAAGCUCAGUAACAUGUCCAGUCCUCAACAAAGUAACAAAGCUCAGCCUUCAGGAGAAAAGCUACGCUCUUGCAGACCAGGAGUUCUCAGUCCAUGGAACAAACAAUAGAGACACUGCUGUGGGUUUGGUUUGCUAUUGAAAAAGGAAAGAACAAGGGCAAAGGAGAAAACUCAGGAGAACUUUGUUCGACUCCUAAAAUGGUCCCUAGCUGAAUGGGUUUGGGAUGAAGGGUACGCAUUUUAUUUUCUUCAGCAUGCCCUGCAGCAUUUGUCCAUCAUUUUCUUUGAGACGCACUAGUCUCGUUCAACUCUAAUAUUUACUGGUAAAAAUAUUCCUCUAUCUUGUUUAUCCUAGAAUAUUUCAACCUGGCACUGCAGUCAGGCAUUUCUGAGGAUUAUUUGCUUCUGCUCACCAGCCUCUUCAACUUUGGAUCAGGUUUUAAAAAUAGUAAGCUUUUUUUUUUCCUUUCCCUUCCCUUGCUGCUUCCUUUUCAUUACCAAGGUACAGCUAGAGAGAGGCAGAGAGACAGAGAUUCUCCUUUGUUUUGGACUUUCAGUUGGACCAAAGUCUUGUGCUUCAGAAAAGCUCUGCUGCUCUCCCAAAGGCCAUCCUUCACUUCUGCUACGCCUCGUUGCCUCGCCUCCCUACAUGAGAGAAAACCCCCAACAAUAUCAUCUCCCUCGAGCUUUAAGAAAACAGGUAAUGAUGCAUGGAUGUGCAAUGAAAUUUCAGAAAUGUGCACUGACUUUUUAGAAAUAUGCCAACUGUCAAAUAAAAAAAAUAAAAUAAAAAAUCAGGCCUAGCCAAUAUUUAAACCGUGAAGUCCUCAACAGCACCAACUCUGAACUGCAGCCUCUGUUACAGCACAACAACUUGCCCAACAUUAUUUAGGAUUUACCCCCAAAAUGCCACCUGGUGCUUGACCCAAAAGAUGGUUUACUUAUAAUUAUUAGUCUGUCAUCAGCUUGCUGCUUAUCUGCUGCCAGCAGCCCUUGAAUGAGUUGUUUGUAAGGUUUUUGCAGGUUUUCGUAUUUGAAAAGCCUUAUAAAAAGAUACCUUUGGUUGUAUAAUGGCAGAAAUAUAUGUACAGAGAUAUCUAUCAUGAAGGAUUUUGUAUUUGGUACUUACUUGAAGACAAUGUGAUGACGAUACCUUCUGAGCAACUUACAGGAGCCGAGCUGUAGAUGUAAAUACAUAAACAAGUCAAUACAAAUAUGCGUAAACUCUC